CACAGUAUGUAUCUUAUGUUUAUGUGUACCGGUCUAUCUGUUUGUGAUUUGUUUUAUGGUAUGUAUCUCUUUAUGUAUACCUGUCUAAGUGUUUGUCAUUUGUUUCAUUGUAUGUUUUUAUGGUUUAUGUGUACCAGUUUAUGUGAGUUUUUUAUGGUAUGUAUCUUUGUUGAUGUGUACCCAUCUAGGUGUUUGUAAUUUGUCUCAUGGUAUAUAUCUUUGUUUAUGUGUACCCGUAUAGGUGUUGUGGCAUGGUGUAUAUCUUUUCAUUUUCUGUGAUGCUGUCUAGACGGUUGUGUUAUGUGACAAGAUAUUUAUCUUUUCUUUAUAUGUUGCUGUCUAAGUGUUUGUUAUUUGUGACACGGUAAAUAUAUAUUUAUUUAUCUGUUUGCAUGUUUAGGUGUUAAUAGUUUGUUCCAUGAUAUAUCUCUAUAUUGUUAACUCAAUAUCUGACUGAGUGACAGUUAUGGUUUUAAGUGUUCAUUUUGACACAGCUGCAUACUUUAAUUAAAGUUCAGUGUUUUAUUCUUUUGUUUUUUUCCCCCUUCUAAUCUUUAGGUAAUAAUUGCAGUGCUGAUGAUGGUUUGACAAUCAAUCAAAAAGUGAUAGUUUGCCUCUAAGAGAAUCUUUAUAAAAAUAUUUCCCAAAUGGAACUAUGCAGAGAUAAUUUCCAUAUAUCAAUGGAAACAUUUCUUGUAUAAACAACCUGUCACACAUUUCACAUCCAUAAUAGAUGAGAAAACCCUUUAUUUUUCUUUCAGAC
Molecule: long non-coding RNA, 763 nt
Filed under: Mytilus galloprovincialis (Mediterranean mussel)
Lineage: Eukaryota; Metazoa; Mollusca; Bivalvia; Mytilida; Mytilidae
Source: RNAcentral